UGCCCUAACCCACGACCGGUAACUGGCGCAGUCGGACUCGUCAUUGGACUAGAAGAAGAGCCGAGGACGAAGACCCCACGCAAUGCAGAUUGGAAUAAUAUUAUUAGCAAAAUGUAUACAAGUUAAGUGCAUCGCAUAAGAACCAACUAGGUUCCCGAGUGAAACAGGCGCCUAUGCCCACUCGCAACGAUCAACAAAGGGCCACCUAGGCUCACGGAUGAAACAGGCGCCUAUGCCCAUCCGCUACGAAAUGUUCAAUCAGCAAGUGUAUUCGUUAGCCGUGUUCUAUUUGUUCACACGCUAUCCUCUAUAUGGCAGUGUGAGUUGCCGAAUUCAUAUCGGUCGAAUAGUUCGCUUACAUUACAGUAGCUGAUGUGAACAUACAUACAAAACGUACAAAAAAAAAAUACAUAUA
Molecule: long non-coding RNA, 415 nt
Organism: Drosophila mauritiana
Lineage: Eukaryota; Metazoa; Arthropoda; Insecta; Diptera; Drosophilidae
Exons: 2
Source: RefSeq, a predicted model, not a curated record